RNAcentral lists this ribosomal RNA (777 nucleotides) under uncultured bacterium. RNAcentral describes it as "bacterial SSU rRNA". It matches the Rfam family "Bacterial small subunit ribosomal RNA", at positions 94 to 873 of the family's 1533-position model. The record is from RNAcentral.
AGCGGCGACGGGAGAGUAACGCGUAGAUAUCUGCCUCGAGGCCCGGGAUAGCGGCGGGAAACUGCCGGUAAUACCGGAUAACAUCUCCGGAUCAAAGGUGUGAUUCCGCCUCGAGAUGAGUCUGCGUCCUAUUAAUGCUUGUUGGUGUGGUAACGGCGCACCAAGGCGAAGAUGGGUACCGGGUGUGAGAGCAUGGCCCGGCUCACUGGGACUGAGACACUGCCCAGACACCUACGGGUGGCUGCAGUCGAGAAUCUUCGGCAAUGGGCGAAAGCCUGACCGAGCGACGCCGCGUGCGGGAUGAAGGCCCUCGGGUUGUAAACCGCUGUCAGUAGGGAGCAAAUCUCUUGGGGUUAUCCCCUUGAGUUGAGCGAUCUUCAGAGGAAGUACGGGCUAAGUUCGUGCCAGCAGCCGCGGUAAGACGAACCGUACGAACGUUAUUCGGAAUCACUGGGCUUAAAGAGUCCGUAGGCGGCCGUGUAGGUGGGACGUGAAAGCCCUCGUCUCAACCGAGGAAUUGCGUUCCAAACCACAUGGCUUGAGGAGGAUAGAGGUGAGCGGAACUGAUGGUGGAGCGGUGAAAUGCGUUGAUAUCAUCAGGAACACCAGAGGCGAAGGCGGCUCACUGGGUCCUUUCUGACGCUGAGGGACGAAAGCUAGGGGAGCAAACGGGAUUAGAUACCCCGGUAGUCCUAGCUGUAACGAUGAGCACUAGAUCGAGGGGACUUCCACAUCCUUCUCGGUCGUAGCGAAAGUGUUAAGUGCUCCGCCCUGGGG